CAAAUCCUUAGUAUUUCUAUUUUCUUUUCUACAACAGUAAACAUGGUAAAAUGACCCCUUCAAGGGCCUUGUCUGAGGGAUAACCUGAUAAUAACAAACAUAGGUCAAAGUACAGCCUUUUACACAGAGCUUUGAUCCUGACCAAACAGCAACCUAUAAGGGACCACAACUUAGUAUUGUACACAAUUCGAACAGGAAACC
Molecule: long non-coding RNA, 201 nt
Filed under: Mytilus galloprovincialis (Mediterranean mussel)
Lineage: Eukaryota; Metazoa; Mollusca; Bivalvia; Mytilida; Mytilidae
Source: RNAcentral